UGAACGCUGGCGGCAUGCCUUACACAUGCACGUCGAACGGUAACAGGUCUUCGGAUGCUGACGAGUGGCGAACGGGUGAGUAAUACAUCGGAACGUGCCCGAUCGUGGGGGAUAACGAGGCGAAAGCUUUGCUAAUACCACAUACGAUCUACGGAUGAAAGCGGGGGAUCUUCGGACCUCGCGCGGACGGAGCGGCCGAUGGCAGAUUAGGUAGUUGGUGGGAUAAAAGCUUACCAAGCCGACGAUCUGUAGCUGGUCUGAGAGGAUGAUCAGCCACACUGGGACUGAGACACGGCCCAGACUCCUACGGGAGGCAGCAGUGGGGAAUUUUGGACAAUGGGCGAAAGCCUGAUCCAGCCAUGCCGCGUGCAGGAUGAAGGCCUUCGGGUUGUAAACUGCUUUUGUACGGAACGAAAAGCCUCUUUCUAAUAAAGAGGGGUCAUGACGGUACCGUAAGAAUAAGCACCGGCUAACUACGUG
This 480-nucleotide ribosomal RNA is filed under the name uncultured bacterium. RNAcentral's name for it is "partial 16S ribosomal RNA". It matches the Rfam family "Bacterial small subunit ribosomal RNA", at positions 30 to 507 of the family's 1533-position model. The record is from RNAcentral.